CACUGCAUCAAGUAUAAGACAAGCUACGCCAUGUGAGAAUAUAAAGCAACUGAAAUAAGAACUAAUAGCUCGUUCACACAGGCUGCGUAAGCGUAGACGUGGCGCGUACCAUUGCGUUGUAAUGUAUGGAACUGUAUGAAACAUGGCACACCGCUUGCGUAAAGUGUGGACGUAUGCGUUACUCGGCGUGUUAGGGGUUUACGCGCGUCACUACGCACGUGUCACGUGUACGUGCUUUGUGUGAAUCAGCCUUUAAAUUCACGGAAAUUUACG
Molecule: long non-coding RNA, 273 nt
Organism: Maniola jurtina (meadow brown)
Lineage: Eukaryota; Metazoa; Arthropoda; Insecta; Lepidoptera; Nymphalidae
Exons: 3
Source: RefSeq, a predicted model, not a curated record